Small nuclear RNA from Penaeus monodon (black tiger shrimp), 184 nucleotides. RefSeq annotates it as U2 spliceosomal RNA. The record is from RefSeq and is a predicted model, not a curated record. NCBI's taxonomy places the organism in Eukaryota, Metazoa, Arthropoda, Malacostraca, Decapoda, Penaeidae. The transcript has a single exon.
AUCGCUUUGGGCCCUUUUGGCUAGAUCAAAGUGUAGUAUCUGUUUUUUAUCGCUUAAUAUCGAUCGAUCCCAUGGGGAUCUACGAUUUUAAAAUGAUUUUUUGGAAAAUGGCGAAGUGUAGGGUUUGCUCCCCCUUUCCCGGGGAUCGGCCGUAUGCAGUCCCUCCGGUUUGGUCCCACUCCCC